RNAcentral lists this ribosomal RNA (474 nucleotides) under uncultured bacterium. RNAcentral's name for it is "SSU rRNA". It matches the Rfam family "Bacterial small subunit ribosomal RNA", at positions 26 to 518 of the family's 1533-position model. The record is from RNAcentral.
AGGACGAACGCUGGCGGCGUGCUUAACACAUGCAAGUCGAGCGGAAAGGCCCUUCGGGGUACUCGAGCGGCGAACGGGUGAGUAACACGUGAGCAAUCUGCCCUUAGCUUCGGGAUAGCUCCGGGAAACCGGAAUUAAUACCGAAUAUGACUUCGGCCGACAUCGGCCUUGGUGGAAAGUUUUUCGGCUAGGGAUGAACUCGCGGCCUAUCAGCUUGUUGGUGGGGUAAUGGCCUACCAAGGCGACGACGGGUAGCCGGCCUGAGAGGGCGACCGGCCACGACUGGGACUGAGACACGGCCCAGACUCCUACGGGAGGCAGCAGUGGGAAUAUUGCGCAAUGGGCGAAAGCCUGACGCAGCGACGCCGCGUGGGGGAUGAAGGCCUUCGGGUUGUAAACCCUUUCAGCGAGGACGAAGCGAAAGUGACGGUACCUGCAGAAGAAGCGCCGGCUAACGUACGCGCCAGCAGCCGC